UCCAACAUAGCAAAGUGUCUAGCAUGG
This 27-nucleotide non-coding RNA is filed under the name Mus musculus (house mouse). The record is from RNAcentral. Lineage: Eukaryota; Metazoa; Chordata; Mammalia; Rodentia; Muridae.